AGAGGGGGGUGGAAUUCCGCGUGUAGCAGUGAAAUGCGUAAAGAUGUGGAGGAACACCAAUGGCGAAGGCAGCCCCCUGGGUCGAUACUGACGCUCAUGCACGAAAGCGUGGGUAGCAAACAGGAUUAGAUACCCUGGUAGUCCACGCCCUAAACGAUGUCAACUAGGUGUUGGGAGGGUAAAACCUUUUAGUGCCGUAGCUAACG
Molecule: ribosomal RNA, 206 nt
Filed under: uncultured Candidatus Accumulibacter sp.
Lineage: Bacteria; Pseudomonadati; Pseudomonadota; Betaproteobacteria
Description: partial 16S ribosomal RNA
Rfam family: Bacterial small subunit ribosomal RNA
Source: RNAcentral